Molecule: transfer RNA, 70 nt
Filed under: Camelus bactrianus (Bactrian camel)
Lineage: Eukaryota; Metazoa; Chordata; Mammalia; Artiodactyla; Camelidae
Also listed under: 2 other names
Rfam family: tRNA
About the family: Transfer RNA (tRNA) molecules are approximately 80 nucleotides in length. Their secondary structure includes four short double-helical elements and three loops (D, anti-codon, and T loops).
Source: Rfam by way of RNAcentral
GAAGGUGUAGCUCAGUGGUAGAGUGCAAGCAGCAUGCACAAGGUCCUGGAUUCAAUCCUCAGCACCUCCA